RNAcentral lists this ribosomal RNA (1259 nucleotides) under Klebsiella pneumoniae. RNAcentral describes it as "bacterial LSU rRNA". It matches the Rfam family "Bacterial large subunit ribosomal RNA", at positions 1702 to 2925 of the family's 2925-position model. Lineage: Bacteria; Pseudomonadati; Pseudomonadota; Gammaproteobacteria; Enterobacterales; Enterobacteriaceae. The record is from RNAcentral.
GGGUGAAGGAACUAGGCAAAAUGGUGCCGUAACUUCGGGAGAAGGCACGCUGGUGUGUAGGUGAAGUCCCUGCGGAUGGAGCUGAGACCAGUCGAAGAUACCAGCUGGCUGCAACUGUUUAUUAAAAACACAGCACUGUGCAAACACGAAAGUGGACGUAUACGGUGUGACGCCUGCCCGGUGCCGGAAGGUUAAUUGAUGGGGUUAUCCGUAAGGAGAAGCUCUUGAUCGAAGCCCCGGUAAACGGCGGCCGUAACUAUAACGGUCCUAAGGUAGCGAAAUUCCUUGUCGGGUAAGUUCCGACCUGCACGAAUGGCGUAAUGAUGGCCAGGCUGUCUCCACCCGAGACUCAGUGAAAUUGAACUCGCUGUGAAGAUGCAGUGUACCCGCGGCAAGACGGAAAGACCCCGUGAACCUUUACUAUAGCUUGACACUGAACAUUGAGCCUUGAUGUGUAGGAUAGGUGGGAGGCUUUGAAGCGUGGACGCCAGUCUGCGUGGAGCCAACCUUGAAAUACCACCCUUUAAUGUUUGAUGUUCUAACGUUGGCCCCUUACCGGGGUUGCGGACAGUGUCUGGUGGGUAGUUUGACUGGGGCGGUCUCCUCCCAAAGCGUAACGGAGGAGCACGAAGGUUAGCUAAUCCUGGUCGGACAUCAGGAGGUUAGUGCAAUGGCAUAAGCUAGCUUGACUGCGAGCGUGACGGCGCGAGCAGGUGCGAAAGCAGGUCAUAGUGAUCCGGUGGUUCUGAAUGGAAGGGCCAUCGCUCAACGGAUAAAAGGUACUCCGGGGAUAACAGGCUGAUACCGCCCAAGAGUUCAUAUCGACGGCGGUGUUUGGCACCUCGAUGUCGGCUCAUCACAUCCUGGGGCUGAAGUAGGUCCCAAGGGUAUGGCUGUUCGCCAUUUAAAGUGGUACGCGAGCUGGGUUUAGAACGUCGUGAGACAGUUCGGUCCCUAUCUGCCGUGGGCGCUGGAGAAUUGAGGGGGGCUGCUCCUAGUACGAGAGGACCGGAGUGGACGCAUCACUGGUGUUCGGGUUGUCAUGCCAAUGGCACUGCCCGGUAGCUAAAUGCGGAAGAGAUAAGUGCUGAAAGCAUCUAAGCACGAAACUUGCCCCGAGAUGAGUUCUCCCUGAGACUUUAAGUCUCCUGAAGGAACGUUGAAGACGACGACGUUGAUAGGCCGGGUGUGUAAGCGCAGCGAUGCGUUGAGCUAACCGGUACUAAUGAACCGUGAGGCUUAACCUUACAACGCCGAAG